RNAcentral lists this ribosomal RNA (465 nucleotides) under uncultured bacterium. RNAcentral describes it as "partial 16S ribosomal RNA". It matches the Rfam family "Bacterial small subunit ribosomal RNA", at positions 28 to 507 of the family's 1533-position model. The record is from RNAcentral.
GACGAACGCUGGCGGCGUGCUUAACACAUGCAAGUCGAACGGAAAGGCCCUGCUUGCAGGGUCCUCGAGUGUCGAACGGGUGAGUAACACGUGGGUGAUCUGCCCUGCACUUCGGGAUAAGCCUGGCAAACUGGGACUACUACCGGAUCGGCGCCCUUUCUAGCGUGAUGGUUGGAGAGUUUUUUCGGUGUAGGAUUAGCUGGCGGCCUAUCCGCUUGUUGGUGGGGGAAUGGCCUACCAAGGCGGCGAAGGGUAGCCGACCUGAGAGGGUGGACGGGCACCAGAGGACUGAGGGAGGGACCAGAGGGCAACGGGAGGCAGCAGAGGGGAGUAUUGCGCAAUGAGGGCAAGCGUGAUGUAGCGACGCUGCGGUUGGGAAGACGGGUUUCGGGGUGCGAAAGGCCUUCGCGAGAAACGAAGCAUGGUGUGACGGUACCGAGAUAAGAAGCACCGGCUAACUACGUG